This 441-nucleotide ribosomal RNA is filed under the name uncultured bacterium. RNAcentral describes it as "partial 16S ribosomal RNA". It matches the Rfam family "Bacterial small subunit ribosomal RNA", at positions 338 to 795 of the family's 1533-position model. The record is from RNAcentral.
CCUACGGGAGGCAGCAGUCGGGAAUAUUGCGCAAUGGAGGAAACUCUGACGCAGUGACGCCGCGUAUAGGAAGAAGGUUUUCGGAUUGUAAACUAUUGUCGUUAGGGAAGAUAAAAGACUGUACCUAAGCAGGAAGCCCCGGCUCACUAUGUGCCAGCAGCCGCGGUAAUACACAGGGGGCCAGCGUUAUCCGGAAUUAUUGGGUGUAAAGGGUGCGUAGACGGAAGAACAAGUUGGUAGUGAAAUCCCUCGGCUCAACUGAGGAACUGCAACCAAAACUAUUCUCCUUGAGUGUCGGAGAGGAAAGUGGAAUUCGUGGUGUAGCGGUGAAAUGCGUAGAUAUAAGGAGGAACACCAGUGGCGAAGGCGGUCUGCUGGACAGCAACUGACGGUGAGGCGCGAAAGCGUGGGGAGCAAACAGGAUUAGAUACCCCAGUAGUC